This 249-nucleotide ribosomal RNA is filed under the name uncultured bacterium. RNAcentral describes it as "partial 16S ribosomal RNA". It matches the Rfam family "Bacterial small subunit ribosomal RNA", at positions 125 to 353 of the family's 1533-position model. The record is from RNAcentral.
UAGCCCUUCCAGAGGGGGGACGAACAGUUGGAAACGACUGCUAAUACCGCAUACGAUCUAACCUUGGCAUCGAGGAUGGAUGAAAGGUGGCCUCUAUUUAUAAGCUAUCACUGAAGGAGGGGGAUUGCGUCUGAUUAGCUAGUUGGAGGGGUAACGGCCCACCAAGGCGAUGAUCAGUAGCCGGUCUGAGAGGAUGAACGGCCACAUUGGGACUGAGACACGGCCCAGACUCCUACGGGAGGCAGCAUG